AGAAAGGAUUGGGAAGACAGGAGGUAGAAGGAGGCAUUUUUGCAUUCCUUUAGAUAAAGGGAAGUACCCCCAAAAAAGAUACUCUUGCUUUGCAGGUGUCUGCUCUGGAGUCACUGCUCUUUGGUGAGAGGAAGAAGGCCUUGUUUGACUGCCACAGAUGGGACAUUUAGUGGAGUAAGAAGACUGGUGUGAGAACGGGGUGUUGGUGUUAAUGUUUGGAUUACGGUCCUAGAUGCUGAGAAUUCCUACAGUGGAAGGAGCUUUGGAAUAAGAAACUCGUGAUCUCACCCUUGCCUUGGCGCCCCCAUCAGCUGUGUGACCCUGGCCAAAUAUAAGUCUUAACGUUACAUCUGCAAUGGAAAAACAAGUCAAACUCAGCAAAAAGGAGCCCUGAAGAGACAGAGUUAAGUGCUUCCGUGAUGAGAGUAGAGUUGGCCUAUGCUGUCCCUCCCAGGACUCCUUUACCCAAGAGAAAGAGAGAGUGUGCAUCCAAAGGGGAGUGAAAAUAGAAUAUAAAUAGGGAAAAUAGAACCAUUCAGAGCAGUUCAGGGAUCUUUACUACUCUGACAUGGAAGGAAGAAGGAGGAGAAGAGAAAAGAUGAACGGACCUUGAACCUGGGAUAUCGCUCAUGUGACUGCUACAUUGGUAUUAAGAUACAGCAUUCAUGUGCCCUGGAAUGUUUUGUUCUAUUAGGUGCUACACCCAGUAGAACAGUGCUCCAUCCAAUGCAAUUUUCUGGAAUUUAAACAAUCCAGACCAGAAUUUUUCCUCCUUGGAGAUGGAAUGUCUUGCUCCAGAGGGAGGAGGAAGAAGAGAAAAGAGAAGUCUCAACCAGCCUCCUCUCUACCCCACACAGAGAAUAGAGAUGCAAAACUUCUCCCA
Long non-coding RNA from Homo sapiens (human), 883 nucleotides. The record is from Ensembl. NCBI's taxonomy places the organism in Eukaryota, Metazoa, Chordata, Mammalia, Primates, Hominidae.